RNAcentral lists this transfer RNA (77 nucleotides) under Candidatus Bathyarchaeota archaeon. RNAcentral's name for it is "tRNA-Tyr". It matches the Rfam family "tRNA". From Rfam's summary of the family: Transfer RNA (tRNA) molecules are approximately 80 nucleotides in length. Their secondary structure includes four short double-helical elements and three loops (D, anti-codon, and T loops). Lineage: Archaea; Thermoproteati; Candidatus Bathyarchaeota. The record is from RNAcentral. RNAcentral also lists the same sequence under 3 other names.
CGGGCGGUAGCUCAGCUUGGUAGAGCUUCCGGCUGUAGACCGGAUUGUCGCAGGUUCAAAUCCUGCCCGCCCGACCA